AUUUUGCUUCUCUCUGCCCAAGCCUGUGGUCCAAGGUGCAGGGAUCUCACAGGAAAACAGAGGUUUUUCAUUAGUCAAUACAGUGAAGGCUGGCAUGAUCAUCAGCUUCCCAUCCAAUAAUAUCUACUCAUCAGUGUGCUGUUGUCAAUCAGAGAUUUUCAAGUAUGAGUUCUCCAACUCAAAGAAAAGUAGCUGGAUCCAGGAAGAAAGGCAUUUGGGGAAGAACAACGUUCUUUACAGUGCUCAUGAUGUGUCUCCAGAGAAAGUUACUUCAGCACUAAAAAAAACAAACAAACAAACAACAACAAUAAACAACUUUCCUCUACAGUAUCUUCCAGGGUCUAAACUAUUAGACAGGUUCCUAAGUUUAUCCAGAUCUCUCCUAUGUCUGAAUUCUUGGUCAUCUUCCUUGCCUCUGGCUCCACAGGUAAAGAAGAAAUAAUAAUAAAGGAACAAAAAUUAUAUGUUUCAGGCCGGGCGCGGUGGCUCACGCCUGUAAUCCCAGCACUUUGGGAGGCCGAGGCGGGUGGAUCAUGAGGUCAGGAGAUCGAGACCAUCCUGGCUAACAAGGUGAAACCCCGUCUCUACUAAAAAUACAAAAAAUUAGCCGGGCGCGGUGGCGGGCGCCUGUAGUCCCAGCUACUCGGGAGGCUGAGGCAGGAGAAUGGCGUGAACCCGGGAAGCGGAGCUUGCAGUGAGCCGAGAUUGCGCCACUGCAGUCCGCAGUCCGGCCUGGGCGACAGAGCGAGACUCCGUCUCAAAAAAAAAAAAAAAAAAAA
RNAcentral lists this long non-coding RNA (779 nucleotides) under Homo sapiens (human). Its description in RNAcentral is "long intergenic non-protein coding RNA 1551". Lineage: Eukaryota; Metazoa; Chordata; Mammalia; Primates; Hominidae. The record is from RNAcentral.